UACGUAGGAUGCAAGCGUUGUCCGGAAUUAUUGGGCGUAAAGAGCUCGUAGGCGGUGUGUCGCGUCGGCCGUGAAAACCUGCAGCUUAACUGUGGGCGUGCGGUCGAUACGGGCAUCACUGGAGUUCGGCAGGGGAGACUGGAAUUCCUGGUGUAGCGGUGAAAUGCGCAGAUAUCAGGAGGAACACCGGUGGCGAAGGCGGCUUUCUGGACAGAAACUGACGCUGGAGGCGCGAAAGCUAGGGGGGGCAAACAGG
This 256-nucleotide ribosomal RNA is filed under the name uncultured bacterium. RNAcentral's name for it is "partial 16S ribosomal RNA". It matches the Rfam family "Bacterial small subunit ribosomal RNA", at positions 524 to 776 of the family's 1533-position model. The record is from RNAcentral.